RNAcentral lists this ribosomal RNA (905 nucleotides) under Pseudogymnoascus pannorum. RNAcentral describes it as "LSU rRNA". It matches the Rfam family "Eukaryotic large subunit ribosomal RNA", at positions 36 to 961 of the family's 3401-position model. The record is from RNAcentral. Lineage: Eukaryota; Fungi; Ascomycota; Leotiomycetes; Thelebolales; Thelebolaceae.
UAGCAUAUCAAUAAGCGGAGGAAAAGAAACCAACAGGGAUUACCUCAGUAACGGCGAGUGAAGCGGUAACAGCUCAAAUUUGAAAUCUGGCCUCACGGUCCGAGUUGUAAUUUGUAGAGGAUGCUUCGAGCAUGGUCUGGCCUAAGUUCCUUGGAACAGGACGUCAUAGAGGGUGAGAAUCCCGUAUGCGGCCAGGUGCCUACGCUCAUGUGAAGCUCCUUCGACGAGUCGAGUUGUUUGGGAAUGCAGCUCAAAAUGGGUGGUAAAUUUCAUCUAAAGCUAAAUAUUGGCCAGAGACCGAUAGCGCACAAGUAGAGUGAUCGAAAGAUGAAAAGCACUUUGGAAAGAGAGUUAAACAGUACGUGAAAUUGUUGAAAGGGAAGCGCUUGCAACCAGACUUGCGCGCGGCCGAUCAUCCGGUGUUCUCACCGGUGCACUCGGCCGUGCUCAGGCCAGCAUCGGUUUUGGCGGCUGGAUAAAGGCCCUAGGAAUGUGGCUCCUCUCGGGGAGUGUUAUAGCCUAGGGUGCAAUGCAGCCUGCUGGGACCGAGGACCGCGCUUCGGCUAGGAUGCUGGCGUAAUGGUUGUAAGCGGCCCGUCUUGAAACACGGACCAAGGAGUCUAACAUCUAUGCGAGUGUUUGGGUGUCAAACCCAUACGCGUAAUGAAAGUGAACGGAGGUGAGAACCCUUAAGGGUGCAUCAUCGACCGAUCCUGAUGUCUUCGGAAGGAUUUGAGUAAGAGCAUAGCUGUUGGGACCCGAAAGAUGGUGAACUAUGCCUGAAUAGGGUGAAGCCAGAGGAAACUCUGGUGGAGGCUCGCAGCGGUUUCUGACGUGCAAAUCGAUCGUCAAAUUUGGGUAUAGGGGCGAAAGACUAAUCGAACCAUCUAGUAGCUGGUUCCUGC